RNAcentral lists this transfer RNA (71 nucleotides) under Loxodonta africana (African savanna elephant). It matches the Rfam family "tRNA". Rfam says of the family: Transfer RNA (tRNA) molecules are approximately 80 nucleotides in length. Their secondary structure includes four short double-helical elements and three loops (D, anti-codon, and T loops). The record is from Rfam by way of RNAcentral. Lineage: Eukaryota; Metazoa; Chordata; Mammalia; Proboscidea; Elephantidae.
GCAUAAGUGGUUUAGUGGUAGAAUUUUUGCCUUCCAUGAGGGAUACCUGAGUUCAAUUCUCUGCCAAUGCA